AUUGAACGCUGGCGGAAUGCUUUACACAUGCAAGUCGAACGGCAGCACGGACUUCGGUCUGGUGGCGAGUGGCGAACGGGUGAGUAAUAUAUCGGAACGUGCCCAGUCGUGAGGGAUAACGUAGUGAAAAUUACGCUAAUACCGCAUACGAUCUAUGGAUGAAAGCGGGGGAUCGCAAGACCUCGCGCGAUUGGAGCGGCCGAUAUCAGAUUAGGUAGUUGGUGAGGUAAAGGCUCACCAAGCCAACGAUCUGUAGCUGGUCUGAGAGGACGAGCAGCAAAACUGGAACUGAGACACGGUCCAGACUCCUACGGGAGGCAGCAGUGGGGAAUUUUGGAAAAUGGACGCAAGUCUGAUCCAGCCAUUCCGCGUGCAGGACGAAGGCCUUCGGGUUGUAAACUGCUUUUGUACAGAACGAAAAGGUUUCUAUUAAUACUAGGGGCUCAUGACGGUACUGUAAGAAUAAGCACCGGCUAACUACGUGCCAGCCGCCGCAGUAA
RNAcentral lists this ribosomal RNA (500 nucleotides) under uncultured bacterium. Its description in RNAcentral is "partial 16S ribosomal RNA". It matches the Rfam family "Bacterial small subunit ribosomal RNA", at positions 30 to 523 of the family's 1533-position model. The record is from RNAcentral.